CUUCCACACACACACACACACACACACACACACACACACAGCGUCAGUUGGGGAGACUUUCAUGGAGGUGAACUUGAAACACCCCGGCAGGAACAACAGAAAAGUGGUGAGUGGAACGCCUUGCUUGUUUUCACGAGUUUUUCUUUUUUUUUCUUUUUUUUCUGUGCUUUGAUAACUUUUUUUUACUCUCUUUCUUUCUUUCUUUUAUUAAGGGGGAUGUCUUUGUUAUUUUUCGAUUAUAUUUUUGUUAUGUUUUGUUUCUAUUUUAACCAUUUUUUUCUCUUCUUUUUUUGUUAUUUAUCUUUUCUUUAAUUUUCUGUUACCUCUCUUGUUACCUCCUUUAUUGAACUUCGUCACCUUAUUCAUGUCGCCUUUCACAAUUCACUUCCCUCUCUAUCACCUCAAAUUUACGUUCAUGUUUCCACUUUCUUAUCCUCGCAUUUUUUUUUUCUUAUUUCCUUGUACUUUCAUUCAGUGUUUGUUAUCCUUCAUAUUAUCCAUUUAUCCAGCUAUUUAUUUUAUUUUCUUAUUCAAUGAAACAAAAUACGUACGUUUAUGUGUACGUAUGUGCGUGUACGUGUUUGAUCACUGUUUCGUAAAAAUAUCACGAAAUUUAGUUUGUGUAUUAUUGUUACUUACUUUUGAUUACUUUUUGUUGAUAUUACUGUUUGCAGUGCGCAUGUCGCGUUUUGUUUGUUUCUUACUUCACCCCGGCGCCAGCAGCCAGCACCCAGCAGCCGCCACGCAGGUCAGUUGUCUGUAGUGGCUGCUUCCGCCAGGGUGAGUGUGGUGUGGCGGCCGUGUGACAUGGCCCAUGCUGGUUCCCUGCUGUUCCUUGGCCUACCUUCAUGAUGGACAUGCGCGAGGUGUUAGGGGCGUCCAAGUGGUUCCUAGCAGCUGAUCUCCAGACGGUGACCUUGUCCAGUGACCAGCAGUGCGUGACCUUCGUGGUGCACUUCAUGGGCCCCAGCGCAGGUCGUCUUGAGCUGGACUUAUCCCGCGUGCUGGCUGGCCGCAAUCGGGACCCCCCCACCAUCAUCAUCAGGGGCGUGUCCUGACCCGGACCGCCCCAAGAAGCUGCCCUACAGGACCUGCGGGAGCCUGGAGGAGGAGACACUGCUGGAGGAGUAUAAGAGCGAGUCUUGGGGAUGGGAAGGGAGAGGAGAGUACAAGGUGUAAGGGUAGAUGGGAGCACUGGAAAGGGGAGGGGAGGGGAGGUGAGUAUGGCAGUUGGGGGGAGGAAGGGCAAGAAAAUGGAAGGGAAGGAGAAAAAGGAAAAAGGAAAUGAAAGGGAGGGAAAGUAGGAGGGUGGUGGCAGGGGAUAUGGGUGGUGUUUGGGUAUUUAGUUCAGAGGUUUAGGCUGUUUGCUCAGCGUUUGUUUCCUUUAGGCAUCUCAAAUGUUCCUUUGCAGAGCACAUCCCCAAUCCCUUUGCAGAGGUUUCCUUUUGGUAUCUCAAAUGUUCUUUUGCAGAACAUAUCCCCAAUCCCUUUGCAGAGGUUUCCUUUAGGCAUCUCAAAUGUUCCUUUGCAGAACAUAUCCCCAAUCCCUUUGCAUCCCCAAUCCGUUUGCAGAGGUUUCUUAUCAGGUUUUUUCUUUUGCGGCCAACACCCCGUGGGAUCUCAAGGGCGGUGUUGCCGGAGCUGGCCUCGCCUCCGCCCUGUUGCUGCCUCUGCUUCACCUCAUCGCCUGCGAUAAACCCAUCAACAUCAAGGCAUCUUGGUUUUCGCGUCCAUCCCCGCCCCCCUUAGUUCCUCUCACCCUGCAUAGGGGGCCUGUACAUUAUGUAGAUAGGAGGCUAUAAUUGUGUUAAAUUAUAGAUAUAUUAUGCAAUAAUUAUCUUUAUGCAUAUAUAUAUAUAAAAUGCAAUAUUGUUCGUUAUGCAUAUAUACAAAAUACAAUAAUA
This is a long non-coding RNA of Scylla paramamosain (green mud crab), 1904 nucleotides long. RefSeq lists it as uncharacterized. The transcript is spliced from 3 exons. The record is from RefSeq and is a predicted model, not a curated record. Lineage: Eukaryota; Metazoa; Arthropoda; Malacostraca; Decapoda; Portunidae.